GACGAACGCUGGCGGCGUGCUUAACACAUGCAAGUCGAACGGAAAGGCCCUGCUUUUGUGGGGUGCUCGAGUGGCGAACGGGUGAGUAACACGUGAGUAACCUGCCCUUGACUUUGGGAUAACUUCAGGAAACUGGGGCUAAUACCGGAUAGGAGCUCCUGCUGCAUGGUGGGGGUUGGAAAGUUUCGGCGGUUGGGGAUGGACUCGCGGCUUAUCAGCUUGUUGGUGGGGUAGUGGCUUACCAAGGCUUUGACGGGUAGCCGGCCUGAGAGGGUGACCGGCCACAUUGGGACUGAGAUACGGCCCAGACGCCUACGGGAGGCAGCAGUGGGGAAUAUUGCACAAUGGGCGGAAGCCUGAAGCAGCAACGCCGCGUGCGGGAUGACGGCCUUCGGGUUGUAAACCGCUUUCGCCUGUGACGAAGCGUGAGUGACGGUAAUGGGUAAAGAAGCACCGGCUAACUACGUG
This 468-nucleotide ribosomal RNA is filed under the name uncultured bacterium. RNAcentral's name for it is "partial 16S ribosomal RNA". It matches the Rfam family "Bacterial small subunit ribosomal RNA", at positions 28 to 507 of the family's 1533-position model. The record is from RNAcentral.